This 727-nucleotide ribosomal RNA is filed under the name Streptomyces sp. Its description in RNAcentral is "bacterial SSU rRNA". It matches the Rfam family "Bacterial small subunit ribosomal RNA", at positions 137 to 869 of the family's 1533-position model. The record is from RNAcentral. Lineage: Bacteria; Bacillati; Actinomycetota; Actinomycetes; Kitasatosporales; Streptomycetaceae.
UCUGGGACAAGCCCUGGAAACGGGGUCUAAUACCGGAUAACACUCUGUCCCGCAUGGGACGGGGUUAAAAGCUCCGGCGGUGAAGGAUGAGCCCGCGGCCUAUCAGCUUGUUGGUGGGGUAAUGGCCUACCAAGGCGACGACGGGUAGCCGGCCUGAGAGGGCGACCGGCCACACUGGGACUGAGACACGGCCCAGACUCCUACGGGAGGCAGCAGUGGGGAAUAUUGCACAAUGGGCGAAAGCCUGAUGCAGCGACGCCGCGUGAGGGAUGACGGCCUUCGGGUUGUAAACCUCUUUCAGCAGGGAAGAAGCGAAAGUGACGGUACCUGCAGAAGAAGCGCCGGCUAACUACGUGCCAGCAGCCGCGGUAAUACGUAGGGCGCAAGCGUUGUCCGGAAUUAUUGGGCGUAAAGAGCUCGUAGGGCGGCUUGUCACGUCGGAUGUGAAAGCCCGGGGCUUAACCCCGGGGUCUGCAUUCGAUUACGGGCUAGCUAGAGUGGUGGUAGGGGGAGAUCGGGAAUUCCUGGUGUAGCGGGUGAAAUGCCGCAGAUAUCAGGAGGAACACCGGUGGCGAAGGCGGAUCUUCUGGGCCAUUACUGACGCUGAGGAGCGAAAGCGUGGGGAGCGAACAGGAUUAGAUACCCUGGUAGUCCCACGCCGUAACGUUGGGAACUAGUGUUGGCGACAUUCCACGUCGUCGUGCCGCAGCUAACGCAUUAAGUUCCC